Molecule: ribosomal RNA, 253 nt
Filed under: uncultured bacterium
Lineage: Bacteria
Description: partial 16S ribosomal RNA
Rfam family: Bacterial small subunit ribosomal RNA
Source: RNAcentral
UACGUAGGGGGCUAGCGUUGUCCGGAUUUAUUGGGCGUAAAGAGCGUGUAGGCGGCCAGGUAGGUCUGGUGUGAAAACUCGAGGCUCAACCUCGAGACGCCGGUGGAAACUGCAAAGCUAGAGUCCGGAAGAGGAGAGUGGAAUUCCUGGUGUAGCGGUGAAAUGCGCAGAUAUCAGGAAGAACACCCGUGGCGAAGGCGGCUCUCUGGGACGGUACUGACGCUGAGACGCGAAAGCGUGGGGAGCGAACAGG